CCAUUUGCUUACAUUUUAUUUCAUACAUUCAUCUUCAUCAUACAUUCUUCAUUAAAUUUUUUAAAACAUUACAUGGCGCCCGAUUACUGAGGUCUAAAGGUUCAGGGUACGCUCCCGGUCUUCGGUCUUUUGCUCGAGGAUCGGCUGGUCAUUCGUUGUAAUUUUUUUUGUAACGUGUAAAAAGAACAAAUUGUGUGGUGGUGGUGUUUCUUCAUUUACCCCCUAGUAAAUAAGAUUUAUCGUGUUCAUAUUGAUGUGUGCUUUAAACGAAACAAGUUAAUUUACAUAUACCUACAAACUAUUUUGUAUAACUGUGUUUUUAAAUCUACAUUUGCAUUAUAUAUUAUUUCUUUUGCUUUGCAUACUUUUAAAGUUUGGACUUUGAACUCGUAUAGCAUUUUAUAACAUUUCAUUAAAAAAUUAUACUGCGUUGCAGCUUUUUUGCUGUAUAAUUAAACUUCUUAAAUUGUUUCUUAAAAUUUUGAGCUUACUUUUUUGUUUUUAUCACAAAUUUGCUUUUAUAAAACAAAACAUUAUAUACCCUACAAAGGUUUUUUUUGAAUGUAACUUUAAAUUUUUAACAUUCUUGAGUAAAAUUAUUAUUGUUGCUAGUUUACUGCUUAGCUUUGCUAUACAGUUUUUUUUCUUCAAAAUUUUAUGAAACUUGGUGUGAGUUUAGAAUUAUAUUUUUGAUUUAUACCCUCAAGGUUUAUUUACAAUUUGUAAAUUCUUUCAAAUUAUGCAACAAUUUAUAAAAUCAUUUCGGCCAAAUUUCAAUUAAACAUUUAACUUGCUGUCUAGUGAAAUUAUAGUUCUUGGUUGUAUAACCACGGCUAUACAUAAGUACCUACAUGCUUGUUGUUUAUGUUGCAUUCCUUUUGAGCUCAUAGCAAAUAAACUGGUUCUGUUUUUUUUACACGCUCGUUAGUAUUACGUGUACAAUCUUUUAUUGUUGAGCUAUUGUUUGCUUAAUAGUUUUGUAUUCUAUUACCGGAUAAAUUCUAAUAAGUAAAUCUUUUGAAUUGGAUUAAAUACGUUAAAUAAACAACAUUUAUGCAUUGUUAGUUUUAUAAAUAACUAUAUAUAUUUUUUUUUACAUUUGCAUUUUGUUUAUUUGCAUUUAUUUUUACUUUUCAAGUAGGUAUUUAGUUAAUGAAAAUAUUCUUUGAUUAUUUUUUCUUUAAAACUUAGUAAGUACUUAGUUAAAUCUUUGUUAAAGUACAUUGGUCAUUCAUUUUUUUUAAUCAUGGCGUUGGAAGAACGUCCAAUUAAAUUUCAUCUAUUACGUAAAGAUGAAAUAAUUUACGAGUUAUUAUUUCGUGGUGCAGGGCCACCACUUGUACUAUACAUCUUCACAUUUUGAAGGUGUGGGUACACCGGCAGCGUUGGGGAAUCAUUUAGGUUAGUUGUCUUUUAGGUUAGUUGUUGUAGGAGCCGAUUUACUGGUGGACGCGCGGCCGCUGUGGGGCUCGCCGCGCCGCCACUGACAAAUUGUGGCCUAUUAUAUUGUUGACGGUGGACGUGUGGGCAUUCCCUAGGUUCCCCACACUGCCACUGUCGACAUAUCCAGUUAUUUUUAUUAUUUCUUUUUUAAUUUUUUUUUCUCUUUAUAACUUUAUUUCCGAGCAGCUUGCGGGUGGACGCGCGGCCACACCGGCGGCACGCCGCGCCGCCAUCAACAAGUUGGGUCGUUUUUUUAUAUAUUUUUUUUCUUUUUUUUUUGUUUCGCGUUAGGUAGGGAUUAGUACCUAAUCGUGUGGUUUGUUGAUGGUUGGGGUCGAGCACUCACCAAUAGUAAGGUGAGGUCACUUCCCCGCCGUUUUAGGAUGUUGAGGGAGUGGUAGUUGUGACUGAUGGCUGUUGAAGUCAUUAGUGUUUAUUGAUGGUUGGGGUCGAGCACUCGCCAAUUGUAAGGUGAGGUCACUUCUCCACCAUUUUGAGAUGUCGAGAGAGUGGUAGUUGUGACUGAUGGCUGUUGAAGUCAUUAGUGUUUGUUGAUGGUUGGGGUCGAGCACUCGCCAAUUGUAAGGUGAGGUCACUUCCCCACCAUUUUAAGAUGUUGAGGGAGUGGUGGUUGUGACUGAUGGCUUUUGAAGCCGUUAGUGUUCGUUGGUGGACGUAGUUAUUGCUACGGACACGUAUUAUUGUUGUAAUGAGUCAUUGCGACUUGCUUACCGACAUGUUUUUGGCGCUCGUAUGCGCGCUAUUGAUGCGAUUUCUUGGAUGCGAAGUAUUUCUUGGAUGCGAAGUAUUUCUUGGAUGCGAAGUAUUUUUUGGAUGCGAAGUAUUUUUGGAUGCGAAGAAUUUCUUGGAUGCUAUCAGAUGUUGUUGUGCUCAUGGUGAGCACAGGUGGUAUAUGUGCCGUCUCGGCAAGUUUUUACGUUGCGCGGCGUCCGCCGGCAAUGGCAUUUCUGCCUUUAUUUUUUUUCUAUUCUUUUUAAGUUUAUCUUUUUACUGUUUGUACCGAAUGGCAUUUUUUGCCUUUAUUUAUUUUCAUUGAUAUGGUUUUACUUUUUUUAUUUUAAAUUAUUUCUCUUUUAAGUUAAACUUGAA
This is a long non-coding RNA of Pectinophora gossypiella (pink bollworm), 2553 nucleotides long. RefSeq lists it as uncharacterized. The record is from RefSeq and is a predicted model, not a curated record. The transcript has 2 exons. NCBI's taxonomy places the organism in Eukaryota, Metazoa, Arthropoda, Insecta, Lepidoptera, Gelechiidae.